This 447-nucleotide ribosomal RNA is filed under the name uncultured microorganism. Its description in RNAcentral is "bacterial SSU rRNA". It matches the Rfam family "Bacterial small subunit ribosomal RNA", at positions 9 to 444 of the family's 1533-position model. The record is from RNAcentral.
GAGUUUGAUCUUGGCUCAGGAUGAACGCUGGCGGCGUGCCUAAUUACAUGCAAGUCGAGCGAACGGACGAGAAGCUUGCUUCUCUGGAUGUUAGCGGCGGACGGUGAGUAACACGUGGAUAACCUACCUAUAAGACUGGGAUAACUUCGGGAAACCGGAGCUAAUACCGGAUGAUAUUUUGAACCGCAUGGUUCAAAAGUGAAAGACGGUCUUGCUGUCACUUAUAGAUGGAUCCGCGCUGCAUUAGCUAGUUGGUAAGGUAACGGCUUACCAAGGCAACGAUGCAUAGCCGACCUGAGAGGGUGAUCGGCCACACUGGAACUGAGACACGGUCCAGACUCCUACGGGAGGCAGCAGUAGGGAAUCUUCCGCAAUGGGCGAAAGCCUGACGGAGCAACGCCGCGUGAGUGAUGAAGGUCUUCGGAUCGUAAAACUCUGUUAUUAGGG